Molecule: long non-coding RNA, 606 nt
Organism: Quercus lobata
Lineage: Eukaryota; Viridiplantae; Streptophyta; Magnoliopsida; Fagales; Fagaceae
Exons: 3
Source: RefSeq, a predicted model, not a curated record
UCUUCUCCCUUAUCUUUUCUUUUGUUAAACUAGAAAGUUCAGCCCCUCUUUCUCUACUCCUCUUUCCUUGUUCUUGUUCCUUCUCUCUUUGCUUUUACAUGGCAACACCUCUCCCUCACUCUCUCACUGAAAAUCAUAGACAUCUCUCUAAAGAAUAAAUUAAACGAAUAGCUCUAAGGUUUCAGCUAGUUUGUGGGUGACGAGAACGAGAACAUGGACACGGACACUUGAGUUGCUUUUGUACAACUCUCUCACGUCUACUAUUUUCAAUGCACAGGUUCUUCCUGGAAGCAGUAAGAGUAUUAAAGGUGGCAAGGAUUCUGUGAUUCUCAUUUGUUAAAACGUAAAGUUUUUUUUUUUUGUUGUUUUAUAGUAGUUUAGCUCUUUUGUUGUAUAGGAGGAAUCAAGAUGUACUUGAUCCUUGAGCACAGAUGUAAUUCAGUACCUUAGCUUGUUUUGAACUCUAGUUGUAUGUCUUUGGGGUUAGGUUUGUAAUAAGAGUUUUGCUAAACGUUUAGUUAUGUAAUAUUUACACGGAUACCUUAAGUUUCAACCAGGUGGCAAUUUUCCAAGUUCAAAGGAAAUGAAAUUUUAGGGUUUUCAUCA